ACAGCAGCAGCCGCGGUAAUACGUAGGGAGCGAGCGUUGUCCGGAUUUAUUGGGCGUAAAGAGCUCGUAGGCGGCUUGGUAAGUCGGAUGUGAAACCUCCACGCUCAACGUGGUGACGCCAUCCGAUACUGCUAUGGCUUGAGUCCGGUAGGGGCCCACGGAAUUCCUGGUGUAGCGGUGAAAUGCGCAGAUAUCAGGAGGAACACCGGUGGCGAAGGCGGUGGGCUGGGCCGGUACUGACGCUGAGGAGCGAAAGCGUGGGGAGCGAACAGGAUUAGAUACCCCUGUAGUCCCUGUCUCUUAUA
This 305-nucleotide ribosomal RNA is filed under the name uncultured bacterium. RNAcentral describes it as "partial 16S ribosomal RNA". It matches the Rfam family "Bacterial small subunit ribosomal RNA", at positions 505 to 808 of the family's 1533-position model. The record is from RNAcentral.